AGCAGUCGCCGCGGUAAUACGUAGGUGGCAAGCGUUGUCCGGAAUUAUUGGGCGUAAAGGGCUCGCAGGCGGUUUCUUAAGUCUGAUGUGAAAGCCCCCGGCUCAACCGGGGAGGGUCAUUGGAAACUGGGAAACUUGAGUGCAGAAGAGGAGAGUGGAAUUCCACGUGUAGCGGUGAAAUGCGUAGAGAUGUGGAGGAACACCAGUGGCGAAGGCGACUCUCUGGUCUGUAACUGACGCUGAGGAGCGAAAGCGUGGGGAGCGAACAGGAUUAGAGACCCCAGUAGUCCCUGUCUCUUAUAC
Molecule: ribosomal RNA, 303 nt
Filed under: uncultured bacterium
Lineage: Bacteria
Description: partial 16S ribosomal RNA
Rfam family: Bacterial small subunit ribosomal RNA
Source: RNAcentral